CGGACAUGACUUGUCUCGUUUUACUUUUUGUAAUGCAGAAAAAGCAAAACAGAUCUCUUCUAUCAAGUCCAAUUCCUGUUGCCUGCAGUACCCCUUGUCGCCCAUCAGAAAACACCGUUGUGAUGUCCUGCCAUUCCCUGCCCCCACAAAGUGCCAGUACCAGUCAGCUUACUUACAUCAGAUUCACAAAUAAUCAGCCAACACCGCCCCAGCUGUCAGCACCCUCUGCCAUCCCAGACCUGGAAAG
Molecule: long non-coding RNA, 247 nt
Organism: Corythoichthys intestinalis (scribbled pipefish)
Lineage: Eukaryota; Metazoa; Chordata; Actinopteri; Syngnathiformes; Syngnathidae
Exons: 4
Source: RefSeq, a predicted model, not a curated record